UAACGCGUGAGGAACCUGCCUCAAAGAGGGGGACAACAGUUGGAAACGACUGCUAAUACCGCAUAAGCCCACGGCUCGGCAUCGAGCAGGGGGAAAAGGAGCAAUCCGCUUUGAGAUGGCCUCGCGUCCGAUUAGCUAGUUGGUGAGGUAAUGGCCCACCAAGGCGACGAUCGGUAGCCGGACUGAGAGGUUGAACGGCCACAUUGGGACUGAGACACGGCCCAGACUCCUACGGGAGGCAGCAGUGGGGAAUAUUGCACAAUGGGGGAAACCCUGAUGCAGCGACGCCGCGUGGAGGAAGAAGGUCUUCGGAUUGUAAACUCCUGUUGUUGAGGAAGAUAAUGACGGUACUCAACAAGGAAGUGACGGCUAACUACGUGCCAGCAGCCGCGGUAAAACGUAGGUCACAAGCGUUGUCCGGAAUUACUGGGUGUAAAGGGAGCGCAGGCGGGAGAACAAGUUGGAAGUGAAAUCCAUGGGCUCAACCCAUGAACUGCUUUCAAAACUGUUUUUCUUGAGUAGUGCAGAGGUAGGCGGAAUUCCCGGUGUAGCGGUGGAAUGCGUAGAUAUCGGGAGGAACACCAGUGG
Molecule: ribosomal RNA, 588 nt
Filed under: uncultured bacterium
Lineage: Bacteria
Description: bacterial SSU rRNA
Rfam family: Bacterial small subunit ribosomal RNA
Source: RNAcentral